UAGUGCCGCGCCUGACGCUGCGGCUCAGCUGCCCGCCGCUGCCGGGCUCCCGUGCCCUCCUCCCUCGCUGUCGGGCUCGUGUGCACGGGGGUGGAGAGGGGGAUCGCUGCCGGGGUGGUGCGGCGCUGCUCCGCUCCAGCCCCAGCACCGCGGGCGGCUGGCUGGGGGCUGGGGCCGCCACCCCCAGCUGCACCGCAGAAACCCUAAAGGCAGGAGAGAGAAACACCUUUUUGUCUUCAAUUUACGGAGAAAGAAAUCCUUCCUGAAAGGAUGGCAGCCUCCUGUCCACACUACUCCAUUUCACUGGUCAGGGCUCUGAGGCUCUGGGACACAGCCUUGACUGGGUCAACUGCCAUGCAGAAAUUAAUAUUUCAAAUAGACUGUCAGAUCUUUAUGCUCUGAAGGGUUCUCAGAGCCUGGUGGCUCAGCAGUGUAUGUCUGCCGACAGCACGCCAAUGCCAAGCAUCGACAGAGAGAGGUCACUGAGCAUGAAGCUGCUGAAGCAGGCAACACUGGAAAUCUUGGAUACCUCUCCAUAGACCAAGAAAUCAUUUAGAAGGUGAAAAGUCUUUAAAGAGUCUGCUGAUCAUUUCACUAUUGAGUUACCUACUUGCAUUCCAAAGCCAUCCAAAAGAUACUCUAAAGUCUUGUUUUUUAUAAUUUAAAUUAACUUGAACUAAAAUUAGUGCAUCAGAAAUUAGCAUUUUGUUACUAUUUAGAUCAAUCUUCCUUUUCUUUUUUUUGAUUACAGUAACAAUUCCACAUUUAAAUGUAUGGGUUUUCAAAAAAUUAUUAAGUUUUAUGGCUCUACAGUCAAUUAAUUUCCUUUCAUAUUCCAUAUUAGGUUUUUCCCACAUAAACUUUAGGAAAAUAUGAAGCCAAUAAAUUACACAUUUAUUAAAAUAGACAAUCAAUCAUAUUUUUAAGCAAUCUUCACCUCAAAUAUUAAAUUAUGUAAUUAAUUUAGAAAAUAAUUAUAAGCUGUAACUAAUUUGACUGCAUGCAUUAUUAAAUAGUAAAUUAAAGCAAUGAAAUAUAGACAGCUUAGAAAACCUUUGCUAAUUUUAUUCUGUAUAAAUAAAAAAAUUGUUAAUAUAAUUCUAAAUUUAGAUUAUUCUGAUUUCAAUUCUUCUAGUUUCUAGAACAAUAGAAAAAAUAUUUCUGUCUCAUUUAGAAUCUGUAAAUAAUUUUAGACGUAAAUAUGUUUUUUUCCAUAUUUUUCCAUUGAGAAAAAUACAUACCUACAGCUGAAUCUGUAAAACCCAUUGAUUUCUAAUCAUUUGGAAAAGUGUUCUGUCUGUACGGUUCUACAAUGAAUUCCAUAAAUAUGUCAAGUAAUUCCUUUCCAUAUAAUCCACCUGUGGCACUGUAUGACUUUAUGUGGUCCAGCUUCCUUCUCCCUGUGGUCUGUUAAUAUCCCAUCCAUAUAUAUAUAUAUAAAAAAAAGAUAGGAACAUUGAAUUGGCUGAUAAAGCUUUUAUAAUCAGUUGAUUUCUACUGACAGUAUCCAGCUCAAAACUACUGAAUGUUGCUGAUGCACAGUAGCAGGAGUAGUUCAUUAUUUCUGCUAUGGCUCCAGCUCUUUCAAGAGGAGGAAAAAACCUGCUUUAAUCAAAAGCUGAGCAUCUUAGGAUUUACUGGGAGACCUGAUUCUUUGAAAAGUCUUUGAUUCUUUGAAAGGGGUCAGAGUGACAUUUCACUAAUGGUUUUCCUUUCUUCCACUUGGCAGAGCAGCUAGUCUGUCUUGUAAUCAGGCUACGAAUAGGACAGGGGGAAUCAAAGCAGGUACUGAUGUUUAGACACAAAAUGGUUUUACCUGAAAGCUGAAGUAUUUUAUGAAUGGUUUCUGUAAAUAUCCAUAAAAGAAGAGGUAAUAUGCGCUUCAAUUCAGGAUCACUUGGUUUCAUAGGUUUGGUACUCAAGAAUAAAUUUACUCUCAGACCCUUGGAAUUAACCUUGCAAUGUUCAGCCUUCUGAUAUUUCUUUUGUUUGUGUAAUCUUCGUCCUCAAAUUUGCUGCACUACACAAUUACACACUGGGAAUAAAGCUAUAAUAAUUAAGGAAGUGAUUUGCACCUUUACUGAACUAAUUAGCUUUAACUGAAAUAGACAUGAAAGUGUUACCUAAUUCAAAUGGCAUUCUUUCUAUUAUUUUAAUAGUUAUUGUUAUGAUUACUAUUAAUUAAUCAUUUAUUAUUAUUAUCAUUGUUGUUGUUAUUGUUACUGUUAUUAUCACUACUUUGCCAUUUCUAUUGAUUGUGUCAUCACUCUUUGCCUUCUCUUUCUUUUAGGAGCCAUGAAAUUCCAACAUAAAAGAAUUAGCCUUGCAAAAACCUCUUCUAUUUUACCUCAUAUAUUGUUCAACUCAUAACACUGGGAUAUUUUAGCCUACAGUGAGAACUCAUUUUUAUCUAAUACACAUAAUUAGGCCAAAUCAAUGGAUUACAGAUUAAACAAGCAGGGAAUUUAACUAUGACUGGAAGAACAUGAUGGAUCAGUAGUCCUAAUAAUAUAUGGUCAUCAUUUUAAAAUGCUGGUUAUUUAUUGAAAAUUUUAUCUUGAAGUGGCCUGCAAAAAACUAGCAGCUUUUAAGUUCUUACUAAUUUACUUCACUUGACAACAAAUUUUUCUUUACAUUAAUUUCAUGUUUGGUCACAUAUUGAAUGGUUACUUAGCCCUGAGUUUUGCUUGUUUUAAAAUAAAACUAUUAGGUCCUUUGGUUGUUGUUAAAUAAAAAAUCUAGAAAUCUGAAAUAGUUUUACGAGCCUUACCUCUUUUUACCAAUUUUAAGCAUGUUUUCUACUGUCCAUUCUGAACCACUUACUUAGUGUUGUGUGGGAGAUUUUUCUCUUUUGAACAUGUUACCAGUUUAUAUUUGCCAUAUAACUAAAAUUUAUUUGACAAUGUUAUGGUCCUUCCUUUCUGCUAUAUCUCUACUAUAGACAGAUUUGAAUAUCAGACAACUCUAUAGAUCUGCACCAUUUUCCUUUGUCUCUCUUUUAUUUUUCCUCUAUUUUAAAGACAAGGAUCCUCUAAUGAAUUGAAAUUUUUUAUUUAUUCUAGUUCACGCAUCAGUAAAUCAAGAGAGCUAUUUCUGAAUGCUGUGUCUAUAUGAAAAAGACUAGUUAUUUGAGGUUCUCCACAACUCUAACACAUAUACAGUGGUACUAACUAAAAACUGAGGUGUUUUUUUGGCUUAAGUUUUACCUUGCCCACCAGAAUUCUGUUUGAUUCUUUGAUAUCUUGCUAAUUCAUCAAUAUAAGAUUUGCAUGCAUUCUACCAUCCUUCCUUUUGCAAAGUAAUUUGAAAACACAAGAGACAGGCUAUUUAGAGAAUCUGACUUUCUGAAUACAGCUAUUUUGUCUCUUUCCCUCCUUCACUUUGUCUGAGCAUUUGUUUUUGAAAAACUAUGGCUAAUACAGAUAUAUUUACAUCCAUUGACUAACCCAUGUACUUUAAGAACUUGUCCGAAUUUUUGUUUUGUUUUGCUUUGUAUUUUUGUUUUGUUUGGGAUUUGUUUGUUUGUUUUGUCCUCAAUUAGAUUUUUAGAUGGCAGAAAAAAAAAUAAAAAUGUCACGAUUGUUGGCAAAUAUAAAGUUCUGCAUGGGUGGUUUUUAAUAGCUUAUCAUCAACAUAUAAUCGAACUGAGUAAUUGCUGCAUAAGAGAGUGACUCUGAACCAGCAGCUGCCCCUAGGCAGUACUUUGUUGAGGAAUGUCACUGCGACAAAAAGUGCUGGACACAUAAUGCAUCAUCAGCAUUUGUGCUGUGGGCAUGUCAUCUAGGUGGAUGGGAAUCACCGGGGUGUGGUAAACGUGAGUGUGCCAAUGACAUCUCAGUGGUAUUAGAUGGAUAGGGGGCAAGUAGAAAGACAAAAAAGGCAAAAGACAAAGAAGCCAAAAAAUUGAGAAAAACAGCUUUUACGACGAAAUGGAAAUUACCUUCAAUGCUGCAGUGCACCACUGACUUUGACAGCUGAAGCAGCAGCAGAGAGAACUUGACAAAGAUAUUGGUUAUAGCAAUUCUGUUGCAAGAAGUUAAAUCUGUUUGAUUCUCCACUGGCUAUAUUAAUCAGUAUUCUUCAAAAAAAACUAGACUGAACAGAAGAAUAUUUUCUUAAGGUAAUAAGAAAUGACUUGAAAGUCUAGAUUUCUGUGUGUGAGUGUGUGUCAACACAUGUCUAUAUUUCUGAGCUAAUGAAGCACAAGAGUUAAAAUAAUUGUGUACUUUUUGCUCACUGGACUUGCCCUGGUUUUGGUCAGUUAAAUUUUUGCUGUAGCUGUGAGAGGGCAGAGCCUGGAGCCAUAUGGGCAUGUCCAGGUUGUUAUUCCAUACCAGGUACAUCAUCCCUGGGGGGCAAAAGUAAAGGACUCUUGAUUUUGGGGAGAGGGGCAUGGCUUGGGGUUGAGAAAAGCAUGGUGGGAGGAGGAAACACGUCAGCCAUUAUAUGGUGUUACCAGAGGGCCCAGGUAAGACUUUUGCUUGGCAAUCACCCUCUCCUUUUGUAUACUUUUAUAAUCAGUGUUGUUUCCCUUACUGCUAGGUUUUCUUAUCUCAUUGCUGUUUCCAGUCAAUUGCGCUUAUCUCAAUCCAUGAUCUCUGCAUUUUGUCUCUCACAGGAUGGGGAGGGAAACAGUUUGUGGUUUUCUUUUUGCUGGAAGUGCUAAAUAGGGGGAUACCAUUCCUAAACCAGGAUAGGAUCAAAGGCUGUGUUAUUCAAAAUAUGAAAAAAGUUUUGUAAUUAAUAUAUAUGUUUGCUUUAUUUAAUUCCCCUUACUAGAUACUGUAUAUCAAAACUAUAAGCUUAUAUAUUAGGAUUAAUUUAGACUUAUAUACCUUAUAGACCUGCUUGCUUUUCCUCCUAAACCUUAAUUUCUGAAAAUUGUCCUUUACUAUUUUAUUGAGGUAUCAAAGUUGAGUAGAGCUUAUGUGGUUAUUACUAUAUAGACUAAAAAGAGAACUUUGAUAUUAUACCAUUGGGAAAUAGCAUUCAAUAUAAUUUACAUUUAGAUACUAGAGUGAAAUGCCUUAUAUAAAGUCACUGGUUCUGUUAGUAGUGGAACCCUGCAUAACUCUGUCUCUGGAUGUUGUGUUUAGAAUAUACUGUUUCUUACAUCUAUUGCUUUCACAUUUCAUUUUGAAAUAAAAAUCAUACUUUAUG
This is a long non-coding RNA of Parus major (Great Tit), 5160 nucleotides long. RefSeq lists it as uncharacterized. NCBI's taxonomy places the organism in Eukaryota, Metazoa, Chordata, Aves, Passeriformes, Paridae. The record is from RefSeq and is a predicted model, not a curated record. The transcript has 4 exons.